UACAGAGGGUGCAAGGGUUACUCGGAAUUACUGGGCGUAAAGCGAACGUAGGCGGCUAUGUAAGUCAGGUGUGAAAUCCCCGGGCUCAACCUGGGAACUGCACUUGGGACUGCAUGGCUAGAGUAUGGGAGAGGAAGGCGGAAUUCCCGGUGUAGCGGUGAAAUGCGUAGAUAUCGGGAGGAACAUCAGUGGCGAAGGCGGCCUUCUGGCCCAAUACUGACGCUCAGGUGCGAAAGCGUGGGGAGCAAACAGG
RNAcentral lists this ribosomal RNA (253 nucleotides) under uncultured bacterium. RNAcentral describes it as "partial 16S ribosomal RNA". It matches the Rfam family "Bacterial small subunit ribosomal RNA", at positions 524 to 776 of the family's 1533-position model. The record is from RNAcentral.